GAUGAACGCUGGCGGCGUACCUAACGCAUGCAAGUCGAACGGGGAGGUUGAGGAGCAAUCUGAGACUUUCCAGUGGCAAACGGGUGAGUAACACGUGGGUAAUCUACCCUCCGAUGGGGAAUAACGGAUCGAAAGGUUCGCUAAUACCGCAUAGGGUGGCGGGGAUGCGAAUUCCUGUUACCAAAGCCUUUGGGCGUCGGAGGCGGAGCCUGCGGUCGAUCAGGUAGUUGGUGAGGUAACGGCUCACCAAGCCGCUGACCGAUAGCUGAUCUGAGAGGAUGACCAGCCACACUGGCACUGUGACACGGGCCAGACUCCUACGGGAGGCAGCAGCGAGGAAUAUUGCACAAUGGGCGCAAGCCUGAUGCAGUAACGCCGCGUGCGGGAUGAAGACCUUCGGGUUGUAAACCGCUUUUCACGAGGACGAGUGAGGACGGUACUUGUGGAAUCAGUCUCGGCUAACUACGUGCCAGCAGCCGCCGUAAAAC
This 488-nucleotide ribosomal RNA is filed under the name uncultured bacterium. RNAcentral's name for it is "bacterial SSU rRNA". It matches the Rfam family "Bacterial small subunit ribosomal RNA", at positions 28 to 526 of the family's 1533-position model. The record is from RNAcentral.